GAUGAAGAACGUAGCGAAAUGCGAUAAGUAAUGUGAAUUGUAGAAUUCAGUGAAUCAUCGAAUCUUUGAACGCACCUUGCGCCCUUUGGCUAUUCUGAAGGGCAUGCCUGUUUGAGUAUCAUGAACACCUCAACUCUCAUGGUUCGCCAUGAUGAGCUUGGACUUUGGGGGUCUUGCUGGCCUACGGUCGGCUCCUCUCAAAUGAAUCAGCUUGCCAGUGUUUGGUAGAGUCGCAGGUGUGAUAACUAUCUACGCUUGUGGUUUUCUGCCAGAUAACCUUCAGUGAUGGAGGUUCGCUGGAGCUUAUAAAUGUCUCUCCCCAGUGAGGACAGCUUUUUGAACGUUUGAUCUCAAAUCAGGUAGGACUACCCGCUGAACUUAAGCAUAUCAAUAAGCGGAGGA
This 402-nucleotide unclassified non-coding RNA is filed under the name soil metagenome. Its description in RNAcentral is "partial contains 5.8S ribosomal RNA, internal transcribed spacer 2, and large subunit ribosomal RNA". The stretch from base 1 to 121 matches the Rfam family "5.8S ribosomal RNA", at positions 35 to 154 of the family's 154-position model. The record is from RNAcentral.